Long non-coding RNA from Phascolarctos cinereus (koala), 5761 nucleotides. RefSeq lists it as uncharacterized. The record is from RefSeq and is a predicted model, not a curated record. NCBI's taxonomy places the organism in Eukaryota, Metazoa, Chordata, Mammalia, Diprotodontia, Phascolarctidae.
UAAGUGAGGAAGGGGAGAGAGUACAUUCCAGGCAUAAGGGACAGAAUGAACAAAGGUUGGGGGGGAGAUCACAAAACAUACUCAGGAGGCAGAAACUAGAAAAGUAUGAGUAUAGUGUCUAUGUGUGGAGAAUAAUAAAAGAUGACUGGUGAGAUAGGAAUUCUAGAUUUAGAGGUCUUCAAAUGUCAAAGGUCAGAAGAGCGACAUGAAAGAACUGGAUUUGUAAUUAGAGGAUCUGGGUUCAAACUGUGGCUCUUUCACUUAAAUUUGCUAUGCACUAGUCACUUCAUAUCUAGGCCUUAAUUUCUCCAUCUAGGAGAUGAACACCAGGUUGAACUAGAUAUUCUGUAAGGACCCUUUAAUUUUAAAUUCCAUAAUCCUAUGCAUAAGAAAGAUUAUUCUAGGAGCUAUAUGAGACUAUAUCUGAGCAGUGAGACAAUAUAGUUAUGGUGACCAUCUUUUUAGAACCACAAAUUAUAACGCAUGCGUGGUCUGGCAAAGCAAAUUCAUUUUUGCAAAGUUUCAUUAAAAUCACAUUUUCUUAUCUCAAAAGUUGGAAGUGUCCCAGAAAAUCUAAGGUGUAUAGUUGCUUUAGAUGUGACUGAUCCCUAUGAAUCAUGGUGGUAGAAGGAGCAGAGAAUUUAUUCACCAAAUCCUAAAACAUGAAAAUUAGGGGAUACUCCUUGAAACUCAAAAUAGAUUUUAGGGCAAGGAAAGGUCAUCCUUUACACAGCAGAACUCUGCCCCAUCAAGUAUUAAUAGACUCAAAACAGAAAUAGUAAACAAGCAUUCUUUGACAGGCAUUCCAAGAUCAGAACUGACUACAAAUGCAAUUUUUUUCAGUUUAGCACACAGUAUGAUGGUUUCAGAUUCCUUCAUUAUCAUCAGCUUUAAGCUAUACCUAGUGAGCCUCUAGCACAAGGUUUAUGUGUCUGAAUUAAAAUGGAAGAUGCCACAUUUAGAAAAGGAAAUGGUGGUCACCAAAAGCCAGCACAGACAAAUCAUCCAGAAUGGGCCAUGCCAAACUAACUCUUUGUCAGAGUUAUGUUAUAAAUAUAGUUUUUCUGCAUUUUGACAAGUGAUUUGACAGUUUCUGGAUGACCACUUUCUGGGUAUGUUGUAGAGGGGAUUUCUAGGUGCAAGCUGGACUAAAUGACUUCUGGGAUCCCUUCUACUUCUGUUAUUGAUUUCUGCCUAUCAAAACCCUACUCCUUCAAGGCCCAGCCCAAAUGCCACCUUUUUCUCUAAGCCUUCUCUUACUGUGGAUAGACUUUCAAGUACUGCAUAAACAGCUCUCUUUGCCCCUGUGGGAAGUAACCUUUCCCUUUUGCUGCCACAGUCCUCUGAAUCUCUGUUACAGCACUUAUCACAUGCUGGUCAGUAUUCUAUUCAUGUGUGUAACUUUGGGUUUUGUUUUCUUUCAUUGGCACAGGAAAACUUCCUCCAUCAGUGUGGACCAGCCCCUGCUUGGAGUCUUUGAGAGUUGCCCUGAGUGGGGGGAUAUUGGGAGGAUAAGAGAUUGCACAAGGUCACACAAACUGUGUCAGAGGUAUCUGGCUGGUCCUCUAGCUCCAAACCUAGUGACUCCUAGUUACCAGAGGUGCCACAUUCAGGGCCUGGAAGAAUGGAGAAGAAAUUGAGGAGAGGCAUGGAUUCCAAUUACAACAGAAGGCAAAAAUAGCAAGACUUGGGUCUCAGGCUGCCCAAGAUGUCCUAGCCACCUUAAGAUAUCCGAAAUUGAUCCCAGACUGUCCUCAUCCUCGAAUGAGCUGUCUCCUCAUCGCCCCCUUUUAGAAUCUGCAGCACCCUUCAAAGCCUAGCUCAAGCACCACAGCUAGGUAAAGCCUUUCUGAUUUCCCCUGGCGGCUAGUGCUGCUCCUCCUCAAAAUACCUUGUACUAUAGUCUGUGCUUUCCUGUGGGUAGACACGAUUUCCGAACUUGAUAGAAUGAAAGUUCCUGACAGCAGCAACUGUUUCAUGUUUUGUCUCUAGAUCCCCAAUACCUGGCAUAGAAUAAGCUUCGAAUAAACACUUGGUGAUUGAUUCCUUAGCUGUGGAUGACUGAGAAAAGCAUACAACCCACUCACUUCUGCCUUUUCUAUAAAAAUAUCAUUUUUAUUACAUAAUAACAUUUCAAGUACUAUCUAAUUUCAACUUAUACUAUGGCAUACAAAUCAGAGCAAAAUUCAAAUCAGUGUCACAACCAGAUGUGAGUUAUGAAAGGACUCUUGUCACUAGACUUCAGUUUUUAUAGUUUGAUAAAAAAAAAAAAGUCAGAUGUUGACAGUUUACCUAACAAGCCUAUAUGACCUGGUUCAGAGGAAGACUGAUUCAUUCAGAUGUUGUUCUGCCAAGGCCACACUUUCUGUCUGGAGCUGUGAGUGCCCCUGUACUGCCACAGGCUCCAAAGUGGAGGCUGAUCAUUCUGGGAUGGUCUUUCCCUAUUCCUUGGCCAAUCCUCUGAAGCUUCUUUGCCAGAACGGUUUAAAGGGGCAAAACUUCUUCCCUCACCUCCUUAUCACCUUAAAACUGAUAAAAGCCAAAAGUAGUUAUUAAACUGGAAUUACAGAGAUUUUUUUUUUCCUCCAAGAAAGAAGCCAGAACACUCUGACAUGAGUUCAUUAGUCUGGUUCUUUGUGUAAGCCACCUGAGAAGAGGACCCUUUCUACCACAAUCACCUCAGAACUACAUGUGUGCAGAUAUAUACUGAAGUCAAAGUUCCAUCUGGCAAGUAUUCUAACUUGAACUCUGGGACUGGAUGAUCUCUUGACUCUUCCCUCAACAAAAUUCUACCACCUCAGACUUACUUCUUCUGCAAUAUAGUAUAUUCUCCCUCCUUUUCUUGACCUGUCACUUUGAGUAACUUCCAGUGUGUAAAAUUCUUCUGUAGAUGCAAACCAGCCACUCAUCUGUAAAUUAUUGUCUUAAAAAAUUACCCAGUCACAUAGUUUGUGCCUGAAGAACCUGAACUCAGAUCUUCUUGACUCCAAGGGUAGGUCUUUAGCUGCAUCAGGCAAAUUCUUUAACAUUGUACUUUUAAGAGUUAUACACUAUCUCAUUUGAUAAUCCCAAGAACCCUGUGAGGUAAGUACUACAGGUAUUUUCUCCACUUUACAGAUGAAGACAGGUAACAUUAGGGGCAUGAACACUGUAACCAGAAAUGGCAUGAUUCUACACAAGUCGCAACCUCUCAGAACUCAUACCAAAUCCUCAGGAUCUACUUGUCAUAGAUUUGAUACCUCUUACGGUGGAGGAUUCCCCCAUAUCAGCAGGUCCUCAGAAGUCACAGAUCUUACGUUUACGGAUGAAGCACCUGAAGGUAAGAGAGGUUUAAAGUGACUUACUUACGAUCACACAGCUGGUAUCAAAGUUGGCCUCUGAAACUAGGUCUCUCCUCUCUAUUUCUCUAGUGCUGUUACCACUCUACCAUGCUCCAUUCUAAACACUCAUCUUUACCCAAAACUCUACUAGGCUUUCCCAAGGACAACACAGCCCUCUUCAUAAUGUCAUCCAUCCCAUCCCUCUGCAGUGGUGGGGUGGUCUACAAGUGUAUAUUGUACAUUAUUUUUAGACUUUCAAUAUACUGUUGUUAUGUUGAUUUUCCUUCCUACUCUUUGUUUUAAAAAUACUCUUUUAUAUGAGAUAGCCGUCUGAGGAGGAAGGAUACUGGGAGAAAUUAUGGUGGUGUAAAAAAAAAAACAAUAAAAAACUUAAAAAAAUAACGUCAUCUAUUAAUCAACUGUCUGUUUUCACCAUUAUUUUGGUCUCCGGUAGGUUGUACACUCCCUGAGGGUAGAAAAUGUUUCUUUGUACUCUUGGGCAUAAGUGCCUUUCACAUAGCAGAUGUGUAGUAAUUUAAAAACAAACAGAUCCACUUUCCCGUUUUCUAGGGCUAUAAUGAUUUUAUUUGACCCAAGAUAAAGAAUUCCUUACUCCCUUGACUGUCAUUUUAGAGUCCUCCCCACGUACUCCCCACAACCUUCCAGAAUCCAAAUACCAAUUAUUGCUAGGAGGCAAAACUAAAUAAAUUUCAUCCAUUAACUAUUCAGAGUAGAGACAGGGUGGUGUAAUUGAUAAAGAGACGAUGACCUUUUGUUCGGGAAGGUCUGGGUUUCAGUCUUGCUUCUGUUACUAUAGCUGUGUGACCAUGGGCAAAUCACUCAGUCUUUCAACAGCCCCAGACCACUGUCAUUUACAGAGGAGUUACCAACUACAUCAGUGAAGAAAGCUUCUGUACUAGGAAGUCCCUAGAGCUCUGGACCAAAAAAAUAAAUCCAUGGUAUCUCACCUUGAGUCCUAUCUAUUCUGAGUCCCCAGUUCCUUUAGUCUUGGACUCUUAACACCCAGUCACCUUUCUCAUUUCAGACCUUUUCCUUGUCUCUAAAGGAACCUAACCACCUUCUCUCCCCACUCUACGUUCUUGACUACUCAGCGGAGGAUGAGGUCAUUUAAACUUAGUUUCUUCAAUUUUCCUUCCCUUACACUUCAAAAUGUGUGUAUAUCUUAUCCACAGAUCAAACCAUUCCACCACUCAAAAUCUUUGUUGGCUCCUUCUCUGCCCACCAAAUGAAGUCUAAACUCUUCAUCUUGGCAUUAGAGGUCCUCCAGUUUGUCUCCAACUGGGCUUUGCAGACUUAUCUUACCUCUUUCUUUUCAAUUAUGCUCCAACAAAAAUGAGCAUUGCCUGGUUUCACACACUCACUUAAUUUAUGAUUCCGAAAUCUGUGCAUUUGUUCAGUCACCUAGGCCUGGCUCGCCUUGCAUCUCCGCCUACUGAAAUCCUGCCUCCCUUUGACUCAAAUGCUGCCCCUUCCCUGCAGUCUUCCUUGUUUCAUCCCAGUUGGAAAUUUCCUUCUUUGAAUGUUGCAUAGCAGUUUGCACCCCUUAUUGGCACUCAUGUUUUAUUAUAGUCAUUAGUGUCUUAGGUCCCUUACUAGCAUAUGAGCUUCUUGGGAUCAAUUUAGCUUUUUUGCUUCCUCAGUGUUUAUACAUGGUGCUAAAGGUUUCUUGAAUGAAUAAGGCCCAGAAGUUUGGAAGGAAUUUCCCUGCCACCUGCCUUCACCUUUACUGAUAUCAUUCCCUAGAUAGUUUGAAAUGUGCCACUAACAGUCACACCUGACAAGACUAAAAAGUUAUGGGACUAGUUCAGACUGGAACAGGGCUUCGGGAAUGGUAAUGAAUGUUAAUGAACUUCCCCUGAUCCCUCCCUUCGCACUGCAAUGUAUUUUCAACUCAUGAAAAUUUUAAGAUUCUGUUAAUUUGCACACUAACAUUGCUUGGCUAAAUGUCCUUUAGGCUCUUACUUGUAUUGUCUUUUCUCAUCUGGUUUUUGGGCUCAAAGGCAUGGACUGAGUUUCUUUCAUAGAUCUCCCACAGCACUUAAUAUAGGAUUUCCUAUAUUUACUUGACUUCUCUUAGGGUAGAUAGCACUGUAACUUCUCAGUCUGGCAUUAGAGGACAUUCACUCAUAACUGUGUCCUCAGUAAGUCUUUCCACCUAUAACACCAACUAUUUUCCUUGACUACCCAAUACUGGAGCCAUCCUGACAACUAUAUUUUUCAAACACUGAUAUUUUACCAUUUCUCACUUCUAUAGCUUUGCUGACCAAAUCUGUCACAGAUAGGAGGUACUCAUGCUUGCUAUCUUAGGGGGCUGUUUUGAAGAUAAGAAUAGCUAAUGUCUACACAGUACUUUAAGGUUUCAAAGUGUUUAAUAAAGAUCUCAUUUGAGCCUUGCAAACUCUUGGAGGUAGGUGCUACUA